CAAGUAAUUAAGUGCAUGUGGUGGAUGCCUUGGCAGUCAGAGGCGAUGAAAGACGUGAUAGCCUGCGAAAAGCUCCGGGGAGGCGGCAAAUAUCCUUUGAUCCGGAGAUGUCUGAAUGGGGGAACCCACCUACUUUAAGGUAGGUAUUGCAACAUGAAUACAUAGUGUUGCAAGGCGAACGAGGGGAAGUGAAACAUCUCAGUACCCUUAGGAAAAGAAAUCAAUUGAGAUUCCCUCAGUAGCGGCGAGCGAACGGGGAUCAGCCCAUUAAGUUAUGUGUGUUUUAGUGGAACGCUCUGGGAAGUGCGAACGUAGAGGGUGAUAUUCCCGUACACGAAAGGGCACACAUAAUGAUGACGAGUAGGGCGAGGCACGUGAAACCUUGUCUGAAUAUGGGGGGACCAUCCUCCAAGGCUAAAUACUCCUGACUGACCGAUAGUGAACCAGUACCGUGAGGGAAAGGCGAAAAGAACCCCUGUGAGGGGAGUGAAAUAGAUCCUGAAACCGCAUGCAUACAAGCAGUGGGAGCACCUUCGUGGUGUGACUGCGUACCUUUUGUAUAAUGGGUCAGCGACUUAUAUUCAGUAGCAAGGUUAACCGUAUAGGGGAGCCGUAGAGAAAUCGAGUCUUAAUAGGGCGUUUAGUUGCUGGGUAUAGACCCGAAACCAGGCGAUCUAUCCAUGAGCAGGUUGAAGGUUGGGUAACACUAACUGGAGGACCGAACCCACUGUCGUUGAAAAGCCAGGGGAUGACUUGUGGAUAGGGGUGAAAGGCUAAUCAAGCCUGGUGAUAGCUGGUUCUCCCCGAAAGCUAUUUAGGUAGCGCCUCGGACGAAUACCAUAGGGGGUAGAGCACUGUUUCGGCUAGGGGGUCAUCCCGACUUACCAAACCGAUGCAAACUCCGAAUACCUAUGAGUACUAUCCGGGAGACAGACUGCGGGUGCUAACGUCCGUAGUCAAGAGGAAAACAAUCCAGACCGCCAGCUAAGGCCCCAAAAUCAUAGUUAAGUGGGAAACGAUGUGGGAAGGCAUAGACAGCUAGGAGGUUGGCUUAGAAGCAGCCACCCUUUAAAGAAAGCGUAAUAGCUCACUAGUCGAGUCGGCCUGCGCGGAAGAUGUAACGGGGCUAAAACUAUGUGCCGAAGCUGCGGAUGUAUACUUUGUAUACGUGGUAGGGGAGCGUUCUGUAAGCCGAUGAAGGUGUGUUGAGAAGCAUGCUGGAGGUAUCAGAAGUGCGAAUGCUGACGUGAGUAACGACAAAACGGGUGAAAAACCCGUUCGCCGAAAGACCAAGGGUUCCAGUCCAACGUUAAUCGGGGCUGGGUGAGUCGACCCCUAAGGCGAGGCCGAAAGGCGUAGUCGAUGGGAAAAUGGUUAAUAUUCCAUUACUUCUGUGUAAUGCGAUGAGAGGACGGAGAAGGCUAAAUCAGCCUGGCGUUGGUUGUCCAGGUGAAAGGAUGUAGGCAUGUAUCUUAGGCAAAUCCGGGGUACUCUAUGCUGAGAUCUGAUAGCAAGCUGUACUUGUACAGCGAAGUGGUUGAUGCCAUGCUUCCAGGAAAAGUCUCUAAGCUUCAGUUACACAGGAAUCGUACCCGAAACCGACACAGGUGGUCAGGUCGAGUAGACCAAGGCGCUUGAGAGAACUCUGCUGAAGGAACUAGGCAAAAUGGUACCGUAACUUCGGGAGAAGGUACGCUGUUGUUGGUGAUGGAACUCGCUUCCUGAGCUGACGACAGCCGCAGAAACCAGGCCGCUGCAACUGUUUAUUAAAAACAUAGCACUCUGCAAACACGAAAGUGGACGUAUAGGGUGUGAUGCCUGCCCGGUGCUGGAAGGUUAAUUGAUGGGGUUAGCGUAAGCGAAGCUCUUGAUCGAAGCCCCAGUAAACGGCGGCCGUAACUAUAACGGUCCUAAGGUAGCGAAAUUCCUUGUCGGGUAAGUUCCGACCUGCACGAAUGGCAUAAUGAUGGCGGCGCUGUCUCCAGCAGAGGCUCAGUGAAAUCGAAAUCGCUGUGAAGAUGCAGUGUACCCGCGGCUAGACGGAAAGACCCCGUGAACCUUUACUGCAGCUUGACACUGAACUUUGACCUUACUUGUGUAGGAUAGGUGGGAGGCUUUGAAGCUGGAACGCUAGUUCCAGUGGAGCCGUCCUUGAAAUACCACCCUGGUAAUGUUGAGGUUCUAACUCUGUCCCGUGAUCCGGGACGAGGACCGUGUCUGGUGGGUAGUUUGACUGGGGCGGUCUCCUCCUAAAGAGUAACGGAGGAGUACGAAGGUGCGCUCAGCGUGGUCGGAAAUCACGCGUAGAGUAUAAAGGCAAAAGCGCGCUUAACUGCGAGACCCACAAGUCGAGCAGGUACGAAAGUAGGUCUUAGUGAUCCGGUGGUUCUGUAUGGAAGGGCCAUCGCUCAACGGAUAAAAGGUACUCUGGGGAUAACAGGCUGAUACCGCCCAAGAGUUCAUAUCGACGGCGGUGUUUGGCACCUCGAUGUCGGCUCAUCUCAUCCUGGGGCUGAAGCAGGUCCCAAGGGUAUGGCUGUUCGCCAUUUAAAGAGGUACGCGAGCUGGGUUUAGAACGUCGUGAGACAGUUCGGUCCCUAUCUACCGUGGGCGCUGGAAAUUUGAGAGGAUCUGCUCCUAGUACGAGAGGACCAGAGUGGACGAACCUCUGGUGUACCGGUUGUGACGCCAGUCGCAUCGCCGGGUAGCUAUGUUCGGAAGGGAUAACCGCUGAAAGCAUCUAAGCGGGAAGCCUACCUCAAGAUAAGAUUUCCCUAGGACUUUAUGUCCUCUAAAGAGCCGUUCGAGACUAGGACGUUGAUAGGUUGGAUGUGGAAGCAUAGUGAUAUGUGAAGCUGACCAAUACUAAUUGCUCGUGAGGCUUGACUA
This 2889-nucleotide ribosomal RNA is filed under the name Acinetobacter baumannii. Its description in RNAcentral is "bacterial LSU rRNA". It matches the Rfam family "Bacterial large subunit ribosomal RNA". Lineage: Bacteria; Pseudomonadati; Pseudomonadota; Gammaproteobacteria; Moraxellales; Moraxellaceae. The record is from RNAcentral. RNAcentral also lists the same sequence under 4 other names.